CCCUUAGAUGUUCUGGGCCGCACGCGCGCUACACUGAAGGGAUCAGCGUGUUUUCCCUUCCCGAGAGGGACGGGUAACCCGCUGAACCCCCUUCGUGGUAGGGAUCGGAGCUUGCAAUUGUUCUCCGUGAACCAGGAAUUCCCAGUAAGCGCAAGUCAUAAGCUUGCGUUGAUUACGUCCCUGCCCUUUGUACACACCGCCCGUCGCACCUACCGAUUGAAUGGUCCGGUGAAAUCUUCGGAUUGAGACUUUGUUUUCUUCACGGAAAACGCUGUUUUAAAAAGUUGAUUAAACCUUACCAUUUAGAGGAAGGUGAAGUCGUAACA
This 326-nucleotide ribosomal RNA is filed under the name uncultured eukaryote. RNAcentral's name for it is "partial 18S ribosomal RNA". It matches the Rfam family "Eukaryotic small subunit ribosomal RNA", at positions 1470 to 1796 of the family's 1831-position model. The record is from RNAcentral.